ACUACGGCAACUGAAAAGACUGUUAGGUAUAAAUAGAGUUCUUCAUCUGACUUCAGCUUGUUGAGGAGUGGUGUAAAGCUGAGAUAGUUUUUUAGCUCAUCAAAUGUGUGCUAGCAUUCUUUGGUCCAUUAAAAAUUUUUUGGCUACUUUAAAAUUUGAAAGAAGGGAAGGCAAUGCUCGACUGAUCUGAAGAUGAAUCGAUUCAAUACCACCACUC
Molecule: long non-coding RNA, 217 nt
Filed under: Elaeis guineensis (African oil palm)
Lineage: Eukaryota; Viridiplantae; Streptophyta; Magnoliopsida; Arecales; Arecaceae
Description: long non-coding RNA (EGUI_LNC037774)
Source: RNAcentral